UACGGGGGGGGCAAGCGUUGUUCGGAAUUACUGGGCGUAAAGUGUGCGCAGGCGGCCGAGCAUGUCGAGUGUGAAAGCCCCGGGCUUAACUCGGAACGGUCAAGUGAUACUGUCGGACUAGAGUACAGAAGGGGCAACUGGAAUUCUCGGUGUAGCGGUGAAAUGCGUAGAUAUCGAGAGGAACACCUGCGGCGAAGGCGGGUUGCUGGGCUAAUACUGACGCUGAGGCGCGAAAGCCAGGGGAGCGAACGGG
RNAcentral lists this ribosomal RNA (253 nucleotides) under uncultured bacterium. Its description in RNAcentral is "partial 16S ribosomal RNA". It matches the Rfam family "Bacterial small subunit ribosomal RNA", at positions 524 to 776 of the family's 1533-position model. The record is from RNAcentral.